UACGUAGGGUCCGAGCGUUGUCCGGAAUUACUGGGCGUAAAGAGCUCAUAGGUGGUUUGUCGCGUUGUUCGUGAAAACUCACAGCUUAACUGUGGGCGUGCGGGCGAUACGGGCAGACUGGAGUACUGCAGGGGAGACUGGAAUUCCUGGUGUAGCGGUGGAAUGCGCAGAUAUCAGGAGGAACACCGGUGGCGAAGGCGGGUCCCUGGACAACUCCUGACACUGAGGCACGAAAGCUAGGGGAGCAAACAGG
This 253-nucleotide ribosomal RNA is filed under the name uncultured bacterium. RNAcentral's name for it is "partial 16S ribosomal RNA". It matches the Rfam family "Bacterial small subunit ribosomal RNA", at positions 524 to 776 of the family's 1533-position model. The record is from RNAcentral.